GUAGCCAAAUGCCUCGUCAUCUAAUUAGUGACGCGCAUGAAUGGAUUAACGAAAUUCCCACUGUCCCUAUCUACUAUCUAGCGAAAUCACAGCCAAGGGAACGGGCUUGGAAAAUAACGGCAAGGAAAGAAGACCCUAUUGAGCUUUACUUUAGUCUGACUCUGUGAAGAGACAUGAGAGGUGUAGCAUAAGUGGGAGUUAGCUUGCUGACAAAAAUGAAAUACCACUACUCUCAUUGUUUCUUUACUUACUCGGUAAAACGAAGAGCGGACGUUUGUCCAUUNUUCUAGCGUUAACCGCAGUACAUGUGUACAGUGGGAUUCGCUCCGAGGACAGUGUCAGGUGGGAAGUUUGACUGGGGCGGUACAUCUGUCAAAUGGUAACGCAGGUGUCCUAAGGCGAGNUCAGCGNNGACAGAAACCUCGCGNAGAGCAAAAGGGCAAAUGNNNGNUUGAUACUUGAUUUUCAGUACGAAUAAAGACCGCGAAAGCGGGGCCCCUNGAUCCUUUUGUUNUUACGNGUUUNAAGCAAGAGGUGUCAGAAAAGUUACCAUAGGGAUAACUGACUUGUGGCNGCCANGCGUUCAUAGCGACGUUGCUUUUUGACCCUUCGAUGUCGGCUCUUCCUAUCAUUGUG
This 636-nucleotide ribosomal RNA is filed under the name Polyaspis lamellipes. Its description in RNAcentral is "partial 28S ribosomal RNA". It matches the Rfam family "Eukaryotic large subunit ribosomal RNA", at positions 2279 to 2904 of the family's 3401-position model. The record is from RNAcentral. Lineage: Eukaryota; Metazoa; Arthropoda; Arachnida; Mesostigmata; Polyaspididae.